UGGGACCAUCGCUGCAGCGAGAUGCAGAUUUUCGUAAAAACCCUUACAGAGAAGACUAUUACAAUGGAGGUUGAACCCUCGGAUACUAUAGAAAAUGUAAAGGCCAAGAUCCAGGAUAAGGAAGGAAUUCCUCCUGAUCAUCAAAGACUGAUGUUUGCUGAUAAGCAACUGGAAGAUGGACGUACUGUGUCUGACUACAACAUUCAGAAGGAGUCCACCCUUCAUCAGGUGCUGAGGCUUCGUGGUGGUGCAAAAAAAAAGGAAGACGAAGUCUUACACCACUCCCAAGAAGAAUAAGCAUAAGAGAAAGAAGGUUAAGUUGGCUGUCCUGAAAUAUUACAAGGUGGAUGAAAAUGGCAAAAUUAGCAGCCUUCGCUGUGAGUGCCCUUCAGAUGAAUGUGGUGCUGGAGUUUUUAUGACCAGCCACUUUGACAGACACCAUUGUGGCAAGUGUUGUCUGACUUACUGCUUCAACAAACCAGAAGACAAGUAAUUUGUAUGAGAUAAUAAAAGACAUGAACUAAUAAAAAAAAAAAAAGAAUUGUAAUGCAAAAAAAAAAAC
RNAcentral lists this long non-coding RNA (562 nucleotides) under Marmota monax (woodchuck). The record is from RNAcentral. Lineage: Eukaryota; Metazoa; Chordata; Mammalia; Rodentia; Sciuridae.